Molecule: ribosomal RNA, 1380 nt
Filed under: metagenome
Description: bacterial LSU rRNA
Rfam family: Bacterial large subunit ribosomal RNA
Source: RNAcentral
AGUCUAAAUAGGCAAAUCCGUUUAGACAAUGCUAGGAUGUGAUGGGGAAGCCCUUUGGGGCGAAGUAGCUGAUUUCACACUGUCAAGAAAAGCUUCUAUCGAGUUUAAAGGCGCCCGUACCGUAAACCGACACAGGUGGGUGAGGAGAGUAUCCUAAGGCCAGCGAGAGAACUAUUGUUAAGGAACUCGGCAAAAUGACCCCGUAACUUAGGGAGAAGGGGUGCCUGUCUAUGACAGGCCGCAGAGAAUAGGCCCAAGCGACUGUUUACAAAAACACAGGUUUCUGCUAAGUCGCAAGACGAUGUAUAGGAGCUGACGCCUGCCCGGUGCUGGAAGGUUAAGGGGAUCUGUUAGAGCAAUCGAAGCAGUGAACUUAAGCCCCAGUAAACGGCGGCCGUAACAAUAACGGUCCUAAGGUAGCGAAAUUCCUUGUCGGGUAAGUUCCGACCCGCACGAAAGGCGUAACGAUUUGGGCACUGUCUCAACAAUAGACUCGGUGAAAUUGUAAUCCCGGUGAAGAUGCCGGGUACCUGCGACAGGACGGAAAGACCCCAUGGAGCUUUACUGUAGCUUGACGUUGGGUCUUGGUACUACAUGUACAGGAUAGGUGGGAGACUAUAAAGCAUGGACGCCAGUCUGUGUGGAGUCAUCCUUGGGAUACCACCCUUGUAGUACUGGGAUCCUAACCAUAGGCCUUGAAUCAGGUCUUGGAACACCGUCAGGUGGGCAGUUUGACUGGGGCGGUCGCCUCCUAAAAAGUAACGGAGGCGCUCAAAGGUUUCCUCAGCACGGUCGGAAAUCGUGCGAAGAGUGUAAAGGCAAAAGGAAGCUUGAUUGCAAGACAUACAGGUCGAGCAAGGACGAAAGUCGGACUUAGUGAUCCGGUGGUACCGCAUGGAAGGGCCAUCGCUCAACGGAUAAAAGCUACCCUGGGGAUAACAGGCUUAUCUCCCCCAAGAGUCCACAUCGACGGGGAGGUUUGGCACCUCGAUGUCGGCUCAUCACAUCCUGGGGCUGUAGUAGGUCCCAAGGGUUGGGCUGUUCGCCCAUUAAAGUGGUACGCGAGCUGGGUUCAGAACGUCGUGAGACAGUUCGGUCCCUAUCCGUCGCAGGCGUAGGAAAUUUGAGAAGACCUGUCCUUAGUACGAGAGGACCGGGAUGGACGUACCUCUGGUGUACCAGUUGUUCUGCCAAGGGCAUGGCUGGGUAGCUAUGUACGGAAUGGAUAAGCGCUGAAAGCAUCUAAGCGCGAAGCCAACUUCAAGAUAAGAUUUCCCACCGUAAGGGUAAGACCCCAGGAAGACUACCUGGUUGAUAGGUCGAAGGCGUAAGUGCAGUAAUGUAUUUAGCUUAUCGAUACUAAUAGGUCGAGGACUUGAC